Long non-coding RNA from Ictalurus punctatus (channel catfish), 508 nucleotides. The record is from Ensembl. Lineage: Eukaryota; Metazoa; Chordata; Actinopteri; Siluriformes; Ictaluridae.
UGGCUAAAACAGAAACACACACAGAGUAUUGAGAAGGUACGCAGGCAGAUGGGGUGUGGUGAGAAGGUACCCAGGCAGAUGGGGUGUGGUGAGAAGGUACCCAGGCAGAUGGGGUGUGGUGAGAAGGUACCCAGGCAGAUGGGGUGUGGUGAGAAGGUACCCAGAGAGAUGAGGUGUGUCAAAAAAGGUACCCAGAGAGGGGCUGUGGUGAGGCACUACCUGGGACUGUGGGUGUGGUGGUACCCAGGGAGUUGGGGUAUGGUAAGACAGUACCCAGUGAGAUGAGAUGAGGUGACGAGUUAAUGGUCCAUUGUCUAAUCUGUUCAAGAAACAAUUCAGCUCAUCUUCUCUCAGACUUUCCUCUGCAUGUCUGCAGUUAAAAUGCCGCCCAGUAAGACAAGGAGCUUCAAAAGGUCUGCCUACUUAAAAUCACAUCAGCGUCUGUUUACAUCAUUUAUUAUCACAAUGCAUGAAAUAUUUAAGAGGAACCGCGGGUGGCGAGAUCAAC